Molecule: ribosomal RNA, 481 nt
Filed under: uncultured bacterium
Lineage: Bacteria
Description: partial 16S ribosomal RNA
Rfam family: Bacterial small subunit ribosomal RNA
Source: RNAcentral
GACGAACGCUGGCGGCGUGCUUAACACAUGCAAGUCGAGCGAUGAAGUUUCUUCGGAAAUGGAUUAGCGGCGAACGGGUGAGGAACACGUGAAGAAUCUGCCCUCCACUUUGGGAUAACACCGGGAAACCGGUGCUAAUACUGAAUAUUGAAACAUAAGUGGCAUCACUGAGUUUUGAAAGAAUUUCGGUGGAGGAUGACUUCGCGGCCUAUCAGCUAGUUGGUGAGGUAAUGGCUCACCAAGGCAACGACGGGUAGCCGGCCUGAGAGGGCGACAGGCCACAGUGGGACUGAGACACGGCCCAGACUCCUACGGGAGGCAGCAGUGGGGAGUAUUGGGCAAUGGAGGAAACUCUGACCCAGCGACGCCGCGUGCGGGAUGAAGGCCUUCGGGUUGUAAACCGCUUUCAGUAGGGAAGAAGCGAAAGUGACGGUACCUACAAAAGAAGCACCGGCUAACUAUGUGCCAGCCGCCGCAGUAA